UUGGCCCUAAAUCAAGGCCAUCGGUUUGCUGUAGCCGUUGGUUUCAAGCAGGAGCCCAGAGGAAAUGUCUCCCGGUCUGCUGGCGCUCCCGUCCCCGUGGAACGACCAAUUCGUGUGGGAGCGACAACA
Accipiter nisus (Eurasian sparrowhawk) is the source of this 129-nucleotide small nucleolar RNA. The record is from Ensembl. Lineage: Eukaryota; Metazoa; Chordata; Aves; Accipitriformes; Accipitridae.